UAAUCUGUAGUGUAACGGCAGCACGUAAGAAUUUGACUCUUACAGUAUAGGUUCGAAUCCUAUCGGAUUAA
RNAcentral lists this transfer RNA (71 nucleotides) under Flavobacteriaceae bacterium. RNAcentral's name for it is "tRNA-Gln". It matches the Rfam family "tRNA". Rfam says of the family: Transfer RNA (tRNA) molecules are approximately 80 nucleotides in length. Lineage: Bacteria; Pseudomonadati; Bacteroidota; Flavobacteriia; Flavobacteriales; Flavobacteriaceae. The record is from RNAcentral.